Long non-coding RNA from Gastrolobium bilobum, 621 nucleotides. RefSeq lists it as uncharacterized. The transcript is spliced from 3 exons. NCBI's taxonomy places the organism in Eukaryota, Viridiplantae, Streptophyta, Magnoliopsida, Fabales, Fabaceae. The record is from RefSeq and is a predicted model, not a curated record.
UCCUUUGAUUUCUUCUUCAAUAUCCCACCAAAACACAAAGUGUAUAACAUGAAAUUGAUUGUAAACUAUCCAACAAAUCCUUUCCAACUAUCAAUUUGAGCUUUUGUUGAGAGUUUAGAGAGUUCUUUCUUCUCUCAAAUUCGUGUUACUAUUCAUCAAAGGAAGAAAGUGGAGCUUUUCAUGGAGCUUUGCUUGAUGGAUGUCUUCUAGGCUUUGGGUAGUUGUUUAGAGGUGCGCCUAGGGACUAAAAAGGAUCGGAAUCUCUUGAAGACAUAUAAGUAACUUGUACAACAAGUAAGCGUAUUGGUAAAGCUUCAAGAGACAGAUGGGGAAGUUUCAGCUACACCCACUUGAAUCAUCAAAAUUGUAAACUUAGGACAUGCAGCGUAUAAUGUGUAAGUGGAAGCUCUUGGUUCAUUGAAUUCAAUGAAUUCGACUGCAUGUGUUUACAAAUAGCAACAUAGGCUAUUGUAGCAUGGUCCAUAAAUUUGGCUCUAUACUUAAAUUUUUGUACUAAUUUAGAGAUGAAAAGGAAAUUUCAAAGCUAGCAUCUUAAUAAUGGUGUAUGAUAACAGAUGAUUUAUGGUAAAAGGAAGAUCAAUGAGCCAAAAGAUGCUGAAU